Molecule: ribosomal RNA, 580 nt
Filed under: Agostocaris sp. HDB-2008
Lineage: Eukaryota; Metazoa; Arthropoda; Malacostraca; Decapoda; Agostocarididae
Description: partial 16S ribosomal RNA
Rfam family: Bacterial large subunit ribosomal RNA
Source: RNAcentral
UUUCGCCUGUUUAUCAAAACAUGUCUGUAUGAAUUAAAUAUAGAGUCUAGCCUGCCCACUGAGGAUUUAAAGGGCCGCGGUAAUUUGACCGUGCGAAGGUAGCAUAAUCAGUAGUCUCUUAAUUGGAGGCUGGAAUGAAUGGUUGGACGAGAAAUAAUCUGUCUUUUUUGUAAGGAUUGAAUUUGAUUUUUGAGUGAGAAGGCUUAAAUAGGUUGGAGGGACGAUAAGACCCUAUAAAACUUUAUAUUAAGAGAGUUAAUUUUUAAUUUUUGGUAUAAAAAUAAUUAGUUUUUGUUUAUUAGGUUGGGGCGACUGUAAUAUAAUAGAAUUUAACUGUUAACGAGAUGAAAUAAAUAUUUUUAUUGGAUGAUCCCUUAUUAGGGAUUAUAAGAAGAAGUUACUUUAGGGAUAACAGCGUGAUUUUUUCUGAGAGUUCUUAUCGACGAAAGUAGUUGCGACCUCGAUGUUGAAUUAAGAUUUUUGUCAGGGUGUAGGAGCUUUGAUGGUGGGUCUGUUCGACCUUUAAAAUCUUACAUGAUUUGAGUUCAAACCGGUGUGAGCCAGGUGGGUUUCUAUCUAA